Molecule: ribosomal RNA, 492 nt
Filed under: uncultured bacterium
Lineage: Bacteria
Description: partial 16S ribosomal RNA
Rfam family: Bacterial small subunit ribosomal RNA
Source: RNAcentral
AGUGAACGCUGGCGGUAGGCCUAACACAUGCAAGUCGAACGGCAGCACAGUAAGAGCUUGCUCUUACGGGUGGCGAGUGGCGGACGGGUGAGGAAUACAUCGGAAUCUACUUUUUCGUGGGGGAUAACGUAGGGAAACUUACGCUAAUACCGCAUACGACCUACGGGUGAAAGCAGGGGAUCUUCGGACCUUGCGCGAUUGAAUGAGCCGAUGUCGGAUUAGCUAUUUGGCGGGGUAAAGGCCCACCAAGGCGACGAUCCGUAGCUGGUCUGAGAGGAUGAUCAGCCACACUGGAACUGAGACAUGGUCCAGACUCCUACGGGAGGCAGCAGUGGGGAAUAUUGGACAAUGGGCGCAAGCCUGAUCCAGCCAUACCGCGUGGGUGAAGAAGGCCUUCGGGUUGUAAAGCCCUUUUGUUGGGAAAGAAAAGCAGCAGGUUAAUACCCCGCUGUUCUGACGGUACCCAAAGAAUAAGCACCGGCUAACUUCGUG